CAGAAAACAAAUAUAGAGAUAUAUAUAUAGAGAGAUAUAUAUCUGGAGAAGAACUAGAUGUAGUCGACAACUACAUAUAUCUUGGCCAAUGGAUCUCAGUGGAAGAUGAUACAAUAAAAGAAAUUGAACGGUGUGUUAAAUGUGGUUGGCAGGCAUUCGGCAAACUAAGCAUAAUUUCCUCCUAUGCUUGAAAAGUUUUCGAUCAGUGUGUGCUACCUGCUCUAGCAUAUGCCAGUGAAACAUGGACACUAACCACACAGUUGAUACAAAAGCUAAGAGUGGCGCAAAGAAUCUAAAAAGAUACACGCUCAGCAUCACAAGACAAGAUAGAAAGACUCGCACAUAGAUUAGAGAACAAACGAAAGCAUACGAUGCCAUCAAGAGAGUAAAAGAAUGGAAAUGGUCAUAUAGAAAGAAGAACUGAUGGCAGGUGAACCAAGGCAGUCAUAGAAUGGAUCCCACUUGAUAAAAAGCGUCCACGAAAAAGACCUAGAACAAGAUGGAUUGACGACCUCAGCCAAGUAUGGCUUGCCCAAUUGGCAAAAGAAAGCUUGGGAUCGUAUUGGUUGGAAACAUGUGGAAGAGGCGUUCAUCCUGCAGUGGAUAAAAUGAUGGUGGUGGUGAUGAUAAUGAUGAUGAUGAUGAUGAUGAGGGGAAGAACAAAGAGUACUGUGCCCCAGCCCUCUGUUUAUUUUUAUAUACAAUAAGCUCACCAAUUAAAGGAUACCUUAAAUGGGAAAGACCGUGAACUUGCCAGUCUCCACCGCCAGUUUGAUGGAAUACACUCAGAGCUUGGGGAAACUGCCAGAAUAAAAGAAAUGGCUUUGAAGGAAAACAGAAGAUUACAGGAUGAUCUAGCCACAAUGACUAGAGAAAACCAGGUGAUCUCGACUGAAUUGGAAGUAACGUUACGUGAAAAAGAAGAACUGAAAGUUAGAGUUCAUAAUUACAUUACUGAAGUGUCCAGAUUUGAAAGUUUAAUAUCCUUAAAGGUGAGAAAUAUUAUUAAAAUACUAGCUGUACCCAGCCAC
This is a long non-coding RNA of Crotalus tigris (Tiger rattlesnake), 1031 nucleotides long. RefSeq lists it as uncharacterized. The record is from RefSeq and is a predicted model, not a curated record. The transcript has 3 exons. NCBI's taxonomy places the organism in Eukaryota, Metazoa, Chordata, Lepidosauria, Squamata, Viperidae.